Molecule: long non-coding RNA, 1357 nt
Organism: Betta splendens (Siamese fighting fish)
Lineage: Eukaryota; Metazoa; Chordata; Actinopteri; Anabantiformes; Osphronemidae
Exons: 2
Source: RefSeq, a predicted model, not a curated record
AGUUAUUGAUCAUUAAAGUUGACUAUACGGCCUAUACAGUUACAGUAUGAACUGGUAGUUUUGAAUACUAAUAAAUCCUAAACUAUACAGUAAAAAUACACGAAUCUUUGUGUGGUGAUAGUACACUUCUAGUAGAACAAGGGGAAAGUGGUCUGAGCCUGGAACUAUGCACCAAAGUCAAGUUAUUAUUGAUCAAAGUUGACUGUAUUACAGUAUGACAUGGUAGUUUUGAAUACUAAUAAAUCCAAAACUAUACAGUAAAAAUACAAGAAUCUUUGUGUGGUGAUAGUACACCUCUAGUAGAACAAAGGGAAAGUGGUCUGGGCCUGGAACUAUGCACCAAAGUCAAGGUAUUGAUCAUUAAAUUUGACUAUACGGCCUAUACAGUUACAGUAUGACAUGGUAGUUUUGAAUACUAAUAAAUCCUAAACUAUACAGUAAAAAUACACAGAUCUUUGUGUGGUGAUAGUACACCUCUAGUAGAUCAGGGGGGAAGUGGUCUGAGCCUGGAACUAUGCACCAAAGUUAAGUUAUUAAUUAUAAAGGUUUUACAGUAUGACAUGGUAUUUUUAAAUACUAAUAAAUGCUUAAUUUUACAGUAAAAGUACACAGAUCUUUAUUGGGCGACAGUUUUUCUAUAUAUGCAAUAUUUUGUUUCGUAGUUUUAUAUAUUUUGAACAGACCGACGUCUCCCUAUGAAAAGAGGAAGUCGCGACGAGCGCGUUUUGUGCUCUGCUGUAAAGCGCGUAAUACGGGCGCAAGACGUUUUUGAAGCGCGGCUGGCUGAACGACGGCUCACUUGACCGCAGUCAAGAACUCUGUCGCCUCACAACGGCUCCUGAUUGGUGAUUACACGUCCUCUUUUAUCAUUACUUUUAGGGUAUUAUUGACUGGAGAUUCUCAGCCUUCGCCUUCUUCACCAUUAUCACUAAAGGAGGAGCACGAUCGGUUCAGGUUAUUUAUUGGUGCAGUACACAAAGUGUCCAGCAGAGUGCAGUUGAGUCUGUUUGACUGUUGAAUUGUACGGUUUAACAGCAGUGGGUAUAAAGGACCUGUGGUACCGCUCCUUCCUACACUGGGGGUGGAUCAGUCUGCCACUGAAGCAGCUGCUCAGAGCCUCCACUGUCUGAUGCAGUGAGAGACUUGUCCAUGAUGGACGUCAGCUUGGCCGACAUCCUCUCACCCUCCUCCCUAGAGUCCAGUGGACCGACCAGGACAGAGCAGACCUUCCUCACCAGCUUGUUCAGUCUUUCUCUGUCAUGGUCUGUGCUGCCAGUUGGCAUUUGUAUUGUGUGGCGAUUUGGAGAAAGCCUGUGAAUUAAACUGUCAGCAAAAUAAAGAAGUAUGCAAACACGUA